This 318-nucleotide long non-coding RNA is filed under the name Phoenix dactylifera (date palm). RNAcentral's name for it is "long non-coding RNA (PDAC_LNC022512)". The record is from RNAcentral. Lineage: Eukaryota; Viridiplantae; Streptophyta; Magnoliopsida; Arecales; Arecaceae.
UCCAAGCCAUCCCGUAAGGUCUGCAAGUGCCCGUUCCGCUUCCGCAUCAUCGGCUCCGGCCUCCAGGCCAAGUGAGACUCCCUCUUCGCCGCUGUCUCCGCCGCCGCCUCCCUUGCCCUCGACCUCCAUCUAUGUUUCUUCCCCACCGUCGCCGCCCGCGAGAGGAUCCAAAGGAGAAAGGGUCUCGGCCGCGCUCCACCGACCACGUCGCCGAGCCACCGCCGGCCUCGGCACUCUUCCGGUUCCGCCAGCCUCGCGGGAGGAGAAGGAGGGAGGAGAAGAAAGAAGAAAGAAGAAGGGGCAUCGGGAAGAAGAGAA